UCGUCAAUACGCAGCGCCAACAUCGUCAAUAAGUAGCGCCAACAUCGUCAACACGUAGCGCCAACAUCGUCAACACGUAGCGCCAACAUCGUCAACAUCGUCACUAAACAUUCUUUAAUCAACACCAAACACUCUUUACUCAACACCAAACACGUGUUCAAAGGCCUUAUUGUACACGUGUUCAAAGACCUUACUUAGUACAGUGUUCAAAGACCUUACUGUACACGUGUUCAAAGACCUUACUGUACACGUGUUCAAAGACCUGACUUAGUACACGUGCUCGGAGAGUUAAGUUGUUGACGCACAGAGAAAUUUUAUAACAACGACAACAAUAACAACUAAAACUAGAACAAAAACUAUAACAAUACCUACAACUUCAGCUACAACAAGAAUAACAUUACCAACAACAAAAACCACAACAAUAACAACUACAAAAACAUCUACAACAACAACAAGACACAUUAACUUUACCCUCAGGAAGGCGAAUUGAUACGAAAUAAUAAUCAAAACAGCCUCUCUCUCUCUCUCUCUCUCUCUCUCUCUCUCUCUCUCUCUCUCUCUCUCUCUCUCUCUAAACAACUAUAAUUCUGGAUGCUAUUUACCUGCUAAUCACGGCACUGAAUUAUUUCUAUCCGUAAUUGAAUACAGGAAACAAUCCACUCACAAAUAGCAGUAAAGUUAUGAGUAAAAGACAAAAGAGCUCAAUCACUCAUAAACUAAACCCAUUUAUGGGAUGAGACUUUGAGCAAAAAGGCAAAGUCAAUCUUCUUAAAAGGAUAAACGUUUUAGCCUCAUUUUUGUAUUCAUAUGUAAAAUGACAAACAGACUCACCUUCAUUUGAUUUAAAUUACAAUUGCCCUAAUUUUUUUUUUAUAAUUAUCAAAUGGCAAACUAAUUAUCUGAAGAGGAACAGCAUGUAGUGUGUGACAUGUAUAUACAGUAUUUUUCAUUAGUGUGUAUAAAUUUAGUUGAGAACAAAACCUGGUGAAUACUAUUGAAGAUUGGAUCUCUCACUCCCUACAUAAGGUGACAUAAACUUACCUAGUAUCUCUCACUCCCUACACAAGGUGACAUACACGAGAAGAGAGCCAGGGAAACAUUACCUCACAAAAGUUACUGUCAAGAGCUACAAGUUGGUUUCUGCCUCAAUUUUCCUGCGAUGACAACACCUGGAGUCAAUAAGACGUGAGGCAGCCUGAAUCAACAUCAGUGACCUCCAGGUGAAUGUGAGUCAAACUGAAUCAACAUCAAUGACCUCCAGGUGAAUGUGAGUCAACCUGAAUCAACAUUAAUGACCUCCAGGUGAAUGUGGGACAAUUUCAAUCAACAUAAAUGACCUCCAGGUGAAUGUGAGUCAACCUGAAUCAACAUUAAUGACCUCCAGGUGAAAGUGAGUCAAACUGAAUCAACAUCAAUGACCUCCAGGUGAAUGCAGGUCAGCACAAAUCAUCAACAAUGACCUUGAAACAUCCUGAACUGUGUUUGUUUAUAAGGGAGAGUAUUACAGCACCUCCCUCCACCUCCUGUAAAGGGAUCUCCACGGUACUACUGCCAGUGAACUGUGUCUUAAGACGGGCAUAGACACAACCAAACCAAACACAUUAAGGUGUCCAAACAAAUCAAAAUAAACACUGGAUCCUCACCUACCUUCCCUUACUCCCACCUGUGUGUGUAUAUAUAUCUCAAUGUCCUUCAGUACCGUGUUGUGUGCACCUCCCUCUACCCUCAUAACAAAUGCUAAUGUAACAUAUAUUUUCCUUUUUUCCUGAUGUGAAUUUCCCUUCCUAUUUUAUUUCCUGACGAUAAUACACAAAUGCAUUUUUUUUCUUGAUUUUCCUAUGAUUUAUUUCCUCCUGACGAUGAUGUGUACUAUAAUUUUUUUGUAUUUCCUGACGAUGAUUUCAUAUUUGAUAAUGUGAAUGACUAAGUCUUUUAAAUGUUAGUGAUAUAUUGAAUGAGUGAUGUUUUCUCUAACAGGGAAACAGAAUGUGAUUUUUUUUUCUUCUGAUGAUGAUGAUGAUGAUUUAAUAAAUGAAUGUUGUCUCUGGUGACGAUGGUCUGAGAAUGUUGAAUCGUGUUUAAUAUUGUGUCUCGUAAGAA
Long non-coding RNA from Homarus americanus (American lobster), 2100 nucleotides. RefSeq lists it as uncharacterized. The transcript has 2 exons. NCBI's taxonomy places the organism in Eukaryota, Metazoa, Arthropoda, Malacostraca, Decapoda, Nephropidae. The record is from RefSeq and is a predicted model, not a curated record.